RNAcentral lists this ribosomal RNA (292 nucleotides) under uncultured bacterium. RNAcentral describes it as "partial 16S ribosomal RNA". It matches the Rfam family "Bacterial small subunit ribosomal RNA", at positions 505 to 796 of the family's 1533-position model. The record is from RNAcentral.
GUGCCAGCCGCCGCGGUAAUACAGAGGUGGCAAGCGUUGUUCGGAAUUACUGGGCGUAAAGGGCGCGUAGGCGGCCAUCUAAGUCAGACGUGAAAUCCCCCGGCUCAACCUGGGAACUGCGUCUGAUACUGGACGGCUUGAGUUUGGGAGAGGGAUGUAGAAUUCCAGGUGUAGCGGUGAAAUGCGUAGAUAUCUGGAGGAAUACCGGUGGCGAAGGCGGCAUCCUGGACCAAUACUGACGCUGAGGCGCGAAAGCUAGGGGAGCAAACGGGAUUAGAUACCCCGGUAGUCC